RNAcentral lists this ribosomal RNA (496 nucleotides) under uncultured bacterium. RNAcentral describes it as "partial 16S ribosomal RNA". It matches the Rfam family "Bacterial small subunit ribosomal RNA", at positions 28 to 506 of the family's 1533-position model. The record is from RNAcentral.
GAUGAACGCUGGCGGCGUGCCUAAUACAUGCAAGUCGAGCGAACGGACGAGAAGCUUGCUUCUCUGAUGUUAGCGGCGGACGGGUGAGUAACACGUGGAUAACCUACCUAUAAGACUGGGAUAACUUCGGGAAACCGUAGCUAAUACCGGAUAAUAUUUUGAACCGCAUGGUUCAAAAGUGAAAGACGGUCUUGCCGUCACUUAUAGAUGGAUCCGCGCUGCAUUAGCUAGUUGGUAAGGUAACGGCUUACCAAGGCAACGAUGCAUAGCCGACCUGAGAGGGUGAUCGGCCACCCUGGAACUGAGACACGGUCCAGACUCCUACGGGAGGCAGCAGUAGGGAAUCUUCCGCAAUGGGCGAAAGCCUGACGGAGCAACGCCGCGUGAGUGAUGAAGGUCUUCGGAUCGUAAAACUCUGUUAUUAGGGAAGAACAUAUGUGUAAGUAACUGUGCACAUCUUGACGGUACCUAAUCAGAAAGCCACGGCUAACUACGU